AAAGUCGUAACAAGGUUUCCGUAGGUGAACCUGCGGAAGGAUCAUUAUUGAAAUAAACCUGAUGAGUUGUUGCUGGCUCUCUAGAGAGCAUUGUGCACGCUUAUCAUCUUUAUGUCUCCACCUGUGCACGUUUUGUAGACCUGGAUCACUCUCUGAAAUGCUAACCAGCAUUUUAGGUUGGAGGAAUUUGACUUUGUUGUCUUUCCUUGCAUUUCUAGGUCUAUGUUCCUUUUCAUAUAAUCUUAUUGUGAUAUAAUGGACCCUAUAUAAUAUAAACCUAUACAACUUUCAGCAACGGAUCUCUUGGCUCUC
This 312-nucleotide unclassified non-coding RNA is filed under the name Basidiomycota sp. RNAcentral describes it as "partial contains small subunit ribosomal RNA, internal transcribed spacer 1, and 5.8S ribosomal RNA". The stretch from base 1 to 47 matches the Rfam family "Eukaryotic small subunit ribosomal RNA", at positions 1785 to 1831 of the family's 1831-position model. The record is from RNAcentral. Lineage: Eukaryota; Fungi; Basidiomycota.